GACGGGGGGGGCAAGUGUUCUUCGGAAUGACUGGGCGUAAAGGGCACGUAGGCGGUGAAUCGGGUUGAAAGUGAAAGUCGCCAAAAAGUGGCGGAAUGCUCUCGAAACCAAUUCACUUGAGUGAGACAGAGGAGAGUGGAAUUUCGUGUGUAGGGGUGAAAUCCGUAAAUAUACGAAGGAACGCCAAAAGCGAAGGCAGCUCUCUGGGUCCCUACAGACGCUGGGGUGCGAAAGCAUGGGGAGCGAACAGG
Molecule: ribosomal RNA, 251 nt
Filed under: uncultured bacterium
Lineage: Bacteria
Description: partial 16S ribosomal RNA
Rfam family: Bacterial small subunit ribosomal RNA
Source: RNAcentral